UUGCCCCGACAUUGUGGCAAUUGUUCGCCCCGACAUUGUGGCGUUUGUUAGCCCCGACAUUGUGGCUAUAGUUUGUGAAUACGAGUUGUAGCUACCUAUUUUAAUCUGAUCACUUGAAAUGCACACUUGUGAUCAUUUUACAAUGGGAUGUUGUCAACGACAACAAAGUAUGAAACAACAAUCAAAAGAUUUCUUUUGCUUUAGAUGACGGUGGUUUGACUGUGGUUAAAGCAGAGCCAAGCCGAGGGGAGUUAAGCUGACGAGGACGUUCAGCUGUCAGGAGAGGCCGUGUUAAAAACUUUCCCACGACCCGGCUCCUCUACUCAGUGACGUCGUGCAACGGAACGCGGAGAGCGGGGCAAUAACGCCGCGUGCGCCACGUCGCAUCAUGCGGUAGCGUCGCUCUCUUUGCUUCGAGCUCGCGGCAGCGACGGACGUACUCUCUAGUGCUAAUAGAACGCGUACUUGUACUUCUACUUGUAUUGUAU
Long non-coding RNA from Melitaea cinxia (Glanville fritillary), 488 nucleotides. RefSeq lists it as uncharacterized. The transcript is spliced from 3 exons. The record is from RefSeq and is a predicted model, not a curated record. Lineage: Eukaryota; Metazoa; Arthropoda; Insecta; Lepidoptera; Nymphalidae.